RNAcentral lists this long non-coding RNA (332 nucleotides) under Panax ginseng (ginseng). RNAcentral's name for it is "long non-coding RNA (PGIN_LNC015793)". The record is from RNAcentral. Lineage: Eukaryota; Viridiplantae; Streptophyta; Magnoliopsida; Apiales; Araliaceae.
UUUUGCUGGAGCUCCAGGAGGACUUGGAUUAGGGAUUCCUCAGACAGGAGGAAGAAACCGAGGCGAGACGGGUCGGGUCGGGAGAGGGAGUAGGUGACGGACACGGAGGAGACUAAGACCGAGACGAAGCCGGUGUGUGUGAAUCCGAAUUUCUCGAAUAGGAUCAUGGGGCGGACAUCGGUGAUGAUUUUUAGGUUCUUGAUCUCAGCGGUGGUAGGGGAGGGGAAGAGGACGGAGAGGAGGAGGAGGAGGAGGGCGACGCCGGUAAGGGGUGCUUUCGCCAUUUUCGGAGAGUUGCAGUGACACUGAGUUUCGGUAGGAGAAGAAGAGAG